This 495-nucleotide ribosomal RNA is filed under the name uncultured Actinomycetes bacterium. Its description in RNAcentral is "bacterial SSU rRNA". It matches the Rfam family "Bacterial small subunit ribosomal RNA", at positions 355 to 859 of the family's 1533-position model. Lineage: Bacteria; Bacillati; Actinomycetota; Actinomycetes. The record is from RNAcentral.
UGGGGAAUAUUGCGCAAUGGGCGAAAGCCUGACGCAGCGACGCCGCGUGGGGGAUGACGGCCUUCGGGUUGUAAACCUCUUUCAGCAGGGACGAAGCGAAAGUGACGGUACCUGCAGAAGAAGCACCGGCCAACUACGUGCCAGCAGCCGCGGUAAUACGUAGGGUGCAAGCGUUGUCCGGAAUUAUUGGGCGUAAAGAGCUCGUAGGCGGUCUGUCGCGUCGGCUGUGAAAACCCGAGGCUCAACCUCGGGCCUGCAGUCGAUACGGGCAAACUGGAGUGUUGCAGGGGAGACUGGAAUUCCUGGUGUAGCGGUGAAAUGCGCAGAUAUCAGGAGGAACACCGGUGGCGAAGGGCGGGUCUCUGGGCAACAACUGACGCUGAGGAGCGAAAGCGUGGGGAGCGAACAGGAUUAGAUACCCUGGUAGUCCACGCCGUAAACGUUGGGCGCUAGGUGUGGGGCUCAUUCCACGAGUUCCGUGCCGCAGCUAACGCU